AAGUCGUAACAAGGUUUCCGUAGGUGAACCUGCGGAAGGAUCAUUAUUGAAAAAACUUGGUCGAGCUGUUGCUGGUCCUUCGGGGCAUGUGCACGCUUGCCACCAAUUUUUAACCACCUGUGCACCUCUUGUAGACUGGAAGCAAUUCUCGAGGCGACUCGGUUUGAGGACUGCUGUGCGAAAGCCGGCUUUCCUUGUGUUUCUCAGUCUAUGUUUUAUUAUACCCCGAAUGUAUGUAUCAGAAUGUAUUGCUGGGCCUUCGUGCCUAUAAAUCAAAUACAACUUUCAACAACGGAUCUCUUGGCUCUC
This 309-nucleotide unclassified non-coding RNA is filed under the name Clitopilus prunulus. RNAcentral's name for it is "partial internal transcribed spacer region". The stretch from base 1 to 46 matches the Rfam family "Eukaryotic small subunit ribosomal RNA", at positions 1786 to 1831 of the family's 1831-position model. The record is from RNAcentral. Lineage: Eukaryota; Fungi; Basidiomycota; Agaricomycetes; Agaricales; Entolomataceae.